CGUUGUAACACCGGUUCAUGUACGAUCACCGAAGUUAAGCAACGUCGAGCCUGGUCAGUAUCUAAAUGGGUGGCCGCUUGGGGAUACCAGGUUUUGUAAG
Non-coding RNA from Acanthosepion pharaonis, 100 nucleotides. Lineage: Eukaryota; Metazoa; Mollusca; Cephalopoda; Sepiida; Sepiidae. The record is from the annotation of a GenBank genome assembly.